AGUGAUGAAUAAAAUUUUAAAGAUACAAAAUAGCUUUAAUCUAAUUUAAUGAAGUGACGAUUACAGAUAUUUUGCAUAUAAUGUUUAUCUGCAUAUCUAAGAAAAUGAAAAAGUGGCAGUAAGGUUUGAAAAUACAUUCGCAGUUGAAGAGCAGAAGGAGAAAGGAAGGCGUGUUUUCAGUUUGUACUUUACAGCCAUAGCCGCAAAAUUGGUUGUCGACCCAUUCAAUCACCAACUCCAGGUUGCAAUAAGAUAGCCUAGCGGACCAAACCACAUCGUAUUGUUUAAUAAUUUUGCUUUUCCUAUAAACUCUCCCCUCAACAGUUAAUUAAGCUGUUUAAAUUCAAUUUCACUUCAAACUUCAAAUUAAUCAUCUUAUCUCCUUUCGCUAUAUCCUAAUCACCAUAGAUAGAAUCUUUGAACUUUGAAGUUUGAAGACACCUUUUCCUUCUUUUUCUUCUUCAUCUUCUCCUUCUCCUUCUUCUUUUCUCCGUCUUCGUCGCUUAUGUGCAAGACAAAGAUGGCCACGAACGCCGCAAGUCCCACUCCCACACCGCGAUCACAACAACGCUCCACCCAAAGCCCAACAACAUCCUCCCCAAGCUCCACACUCAGGCCCAAUCCUCGGCCCACCACUUCUUUCUCAGACAAACCCUCUACCUCUUACGCCUCCACCGCCAGCGCUCCCUACAGCGGCUCCACCGGCUACCGUCUCUCCUCCGACACCUCCAUUGCCAGCCGCACCUCCCUCACCUCUCUUCGCGACACGCUCCCAGAAAACCCUCACAUCUACGACUUCUCCGAAAUCUGCGCCGCCACCAACAACUUCCUCGCCAAGCGACACUCCUCCUCCACCCCCUGCUGGCGCUGCACUCUCCGCGGAGCAGACGUCAUUGUCUUCCAGCGCAAGUUCAUUCGCAAACUCCAGACGAAUGAGCUCCAGCAACUGCUCUCCGUCGUCUGCCGCAGCCACCACGUCAGCAUCAUCAAACUCCUCGGCGCCUCCGUCUCCGGCGACCACAUCUACCUCGUCUACGACUUCGUCAACGGCGCCAGCCUCUCCGAUUGUCUUCGCAACAAGAACAACCCGCGCUUCACCGUUCUCUCCACAUGGAUGUCGCGAAUGCAGGUCGCCACGGAUCUCGCUCACGCACUCGAUUACAUUCACAACAAAACCGGUUUGAACAUCAAUUUCGUCCACAACCGUAUCAAAUCUAGCGGCAUCAUCGUCACGGAACCUUCUUUCAACGCUAGGGUUUGCCAUUUCGGCACCGCGCAGCUCUGCGGCGAAAUCGACCUCGAAAACGAACAAUUAGGUGAAAUCAGCGAGAUAGGGGAGAAUUUUCCGCCGUCCCCGGCGAGAUCCAGGCAAUUCGAGGGCGUGCGGGGGUACAUGGCGCCGGAAUUUCAAGCCUCCGGCGUUGCGACUCAGAGGUCUGAUAUAUACGCUUUCGGAGUGGUGAUGUUGGAGCUCCUGUCCGGGGAGGAGCCACUGAAGUUUAAAUAUGACGAGAAGACGCGCGGAUUUUUGAGGACAUCGGUGAUCGAGACGGCGAGAGGCGUGGUUGACGGCGGCGAUGGUGGCGUGCAGGGGAAGCUGAGGAAGUGGGUUGAUCAGAGAUUGAAAGAUUCGUUUCCCGUGGACGUAGCGGAGAAGCUGACACGUGUGGCGCUGGAGUGCGUACACGUGGAUCCGGAUAAGCGACCGAACAUGGGACACGUUGCAGGGAAGAUCUCGAAGUUUUAUUUGAAGUCGAGGAUGUGGUCGGACAGUAUUAAGGUUCCUGAUAUCACUGUUUCGUUGGGUCCUCGUUGAGUUGUUCAUGUUGGCGGCGGCUUUGUGUUUUUUAAUUAAAGUGAAAGGUCGUUGAUUUCACAAGAUAGAACUGAAGAGUAUCACUGUUUUUAAAUUGAUAUUGAAAUUAAGAAUAUUCUUUGUCUUUCUGAAAUUGAUUGUUUCUUGAAUUAAGUUGGUUCUAAUGCUUUGAUUGCGACUGGAGUUCUGCAAUAUGAAUUUUUUAAUCGGUCACGCUCGGAAACAUUAGUAAAAUAAAACACGCCUUUUAUUACUUUCAGAUUUGAAUUUCAAAGGUGGAAUAGAUAGUGUUGGUGGUGGUAUCAUCGCAAAUACCAAACAAAGUCUUCUCUAUUAUUUUCAGACUCCUUUUCUCUAGUUUAAUUUUUUCAUUAACCAAUUUAUGUUAUGUGUUAUUAUCGGAAGUCUGAGAUCGUUUAAAGAUAAAGUCAACUUAUAAUAUAUAAGUGAGAUUUAAAUUUUAUUUUAUAAAUCAGUUUUGUGAAGUUGAAUUAAAUUUAAAAACUCACUUUCUAAUAGUUAUUAUCUUGUUUUGCCAUUUUUUACCUUUUAUCCAUAUAAAUAAAUUGGAGCUUUAUUAGUUAAUGUAGAUGAUAUCACGAUUAAUUAAACUAACAUAUAUUUUUAUUACUUUAUUAAAAACAUCUUAAAUUCGCUUUUAUUAUUAGUGGUGAUACCAAUAAUUCUUUAAUGAUUAUAAAUGAGGACAUAAUAUUCAUAUUUGAAAACAUGUUAGAUUCGCUCUUACUUGAAUUAUUAGUGGUGAUGAUAAUAAUUUUUUAAUGAUUAUAGAUGACAACAUAAUAUUCGUUAAUAAGUAUGAUGAUUUUUUCAUUAACCAACUUAUAUUGCUAUUAUCUUAUUCUGUCAUUUUGUUUACUUUUUAUCCACAUAAAUAAAUGUGAGGUUUAUUAGUUAGUGUAAAUGAUAUUACGAUUAAUUAAACUAACAGAUAUUUUUAUUACUUUUAUUGAAAACAUGUUAGAUUUGCGUUUAUUGUUAGUGGUGAUGAAAAUAAUUAUUCAAUGAAUAUAGAUGAGGAUUAAAAAUAUAAAUAUAAAACUUAAUUCAGGUAUUCCAUAAAUUAACGUCUUCUUAAUAUCAUUAAAGUUAAAAUAUCUAUAGUUUUGAAUUUGAAUUUGAAAAGGUAUAUACCUGAAUUAGGGAUGAAAACGGAUCGGGUCGGGUUGGGCACGGAUAGUGCUUACCUACAACUCGACUCGACAAAAGAAAUCUACCCGUUACCCAAUCCGCUACUCGAUCUGCUAUCCGUACGGAUACCCACUUAAAAUAUAUCUGCAGAUAUUUUAAAACUCGCGAAUACGUGCAAAUAUUUAAAAAAAAAUAUUUUUAUAAAUUAUUAAAAUAAAAUUUAAAUAUAAUUAAAAUAUAUAUAUAUAUAAUAUAAAUUAAAUUAAAUUAAAUAUAAAUUAAAAUUUAAUUUUUGUUUCGGUUGAAUUUGUCUGAGGGUCGGUCGUCCUUCUUUUCUUUGUUCUCUUUUGAUCUUCAAUCCUUCCCGAGAAUGUCAUCCGCUCCUUUUUGACGUGCAAAAAACACUCUGACGCUCAAGAUAUAAAAAGGUCUAAAUUUUAUUAUGAUAGAAGAAGAAGAUUGUACCUAGACAUCAAUUGUAUUAUUUAUAGAGUUUAUGAUAGGCAAGUCCAUUGAUUAACCAUUAGUACAGUAUAUUUUUAGUCAAUCAAACCCAAUAAUCAAUAAUUAAUUCGUAUAUUUUUUUUUGUAAAGAGUAAGACAAUAUGACCUAUUAAUAUUGUCCAUAAAUGACAAUUAAUUUUGAUCGGUAUAAUUCAUAUAGUACAAUUUUAAUCAAAUUUAACCUUGUAAAAUAUAAAUUAAUGUUAAUUUUAAUUAAAUUUAUCUUAAUAAAAUAAAAAUUAAAUUUUUAUUUUUUUUUGUGGAUAGCGGGUAUCAGUGGGUACAAAUAGUAUAAUAUCCGCAUCCGACCCGUUUAUAAGCGGGUAUUAAAAUACCCGCUAUCCGCAGAUUCCAAGUAGUAAAUAUCUACAGGUACCCGUCGCAGAUUUUAUGUGCGGAUAUCCGCGAACACAAAUUUUUUUGACAUCCCUAACCUGAACAUACUAAGAUGACUAUAAAUAAUAAAUCAUAUUUAAUGUUUAAUUAAAGAUAUUUAAAAUUAUAUUUACUCUUUUUUAUCUGUUUUAAUAAUGAAAAAAAGUGUUCAUUUUAAUAAAACGUUUGCUAUUACUUUUUCUAUCAUAUUUUUAGUCCAUUAAAUAAUUUAUAAAUGAUUUACACAUAUUUCUUUAUUGUAUUAGAUAUAGAGAUAAAGUAAUAAAAUAAGAAAAUCUACCAGAAUUUUAUUAGAAUAAAAAUAUUAUUAUAUAUUCUUCUUCUCCCAAAAAUAACUUUGAAAAACGUAUACAAAAGGAAAGGGUGAAGUAUAUAUCUACAUUUAUGCUUAUUAAAUAUUUCUUAAUCCAUGAGCAUUAACUUAAACAUUACUAAUUAUUGUUAAUUGUCAGACUUUUAAAAUAUAUUUUAGCUGUCAUCUUUAAAUUUAAAUCCAACAUUUAUUAUUCUUUUGCGAUUUAUGUCUAUAUAAUGUGGUAUAAAAAAAGAAAGUAGAAUAGAAAAUUUUAUAAAUAUUUUACCAAGUUCCGAGAAAAUUUAUUACAUGUAUCCGUUCUUCAAAAAAAUCUUAAAUGACAAUUACAAAGAAAAAGACAUAUUUUAUUUCACCUCACGGUAAUGGCAAUUUUAACCAAGUGACAAAUUUUUAAAUUAAUUAAUAAUUAAGCAUUAAUAUUUUAUUUAAUCUGUUUCCAAAUUAAUUAAUAAUUAUUCUCCCUCUCUUAAAAAAAUAUUGUAUUUAUUAAAAAACAGAAAAAAGUUAUUAAAAUAAAAUUACUUCAAUGAUAAUACAUUCACUGUUAUUAUUAAUAUACGUGAAAGAACCUUAAAUUGCAAUCACUGUGGACCAAGAUAACACUCCAUUGAUCCCAGUGUGGCCUGAAGUUUCUUGAACACAACUUAAGAUUUUUUAAAUAUAAUUGUAUAGAAAUAAUCUCACUUGAAAUAAAUGGAUAAUCAUUUUGGAAAAGGAAAAAAAAAACAUUAAUGUUUAAAAAGUGAGACAAUAAGAUAUUUUCUUGUAAAAUUGUUAGGGAUGGACAAAUAAAACUGUAUUGUACCGAACGAUUAAAAAGUGAACUAAAAACUAGUUUGUUUAAACUGAACUGAACGGUUUUUUGUUUUAUCAAACUGAACUAAUUGUAUUAUACUAAAUUGUACUAAACUACAAUAUAAACUGAACUACUAACUGAACUAUACUAAAUUGUACUAAAUUACAAUAUAAACUGAAUUAAAAUAUACUAACUAAAUUCUAAACUUCACUAAUUUUAUAAACUGAUUUUUUAUAUUUUUACUUAAACUUAAGAUUUUCACUCAUGAAUAAAUAGCAAAACUAUGUUUUUUUAAUUUUAUUUUCGUUCAAACAAAUGACGUUUUUUCAAAAUAAUUUUUGAAAAAACUUAAAAAGUCACUUAAGUCAUACAAUGUUUUACUUAUUUUCUGUUUUAUUUAUAUUUUCAUAAUAAUAUGAUUUUUAGUGGAGAAACCAUUUAUUAAUAAUUACUCUACAAGAAAAUAAUAUUAUAAAUUCUAGGAUAGGAUAUAUUAUAAAUAAUUCACAGUAUAUAAAAAAUAUAUUACCGUACUUCUUGUCCAAUAUAUAUGUAAUUUGCAUAUAUAUAUAUAUAUAUAUAUAUAUAAGUAAUUUACAUAUGAAAGUGCAGUGUACAUUCAUUAAUACAUAAUUUACAAUGUUUAUUGAUAAAAUAUAUAAAAAUUUGUGAUAUAAGUUUUUUUUUUAAAAAAAAAAUUAAUUAUUAAUUUUUUUUAUGUGAAUUAUUUCUUUUAUUAAUAUUUUAUUAUUAAAUAACGUUUUUUGCAACAGUUGAACGGAAACUAGAGAAGAAAAAAGAGUAGAUACCGUUUUCGCAGUUAAGUGAACCGAAACUAUUAUAAGUUUAGUUUUUAAAAACUGAACCAUAAAAUAGUAUACUGAACUUUUAAUAAAAGUGGAUCAAUCUUUUUUUAAGUAUAAUAGUACAGUACAAAUAUGUUAUUUUUUACCAGUCCUAAAAAUUGUAAUUAUAUUUUAAAAAAUAUUAAAUAAAAAGUUGCAUUAGUUUCUUAUGUAGUUAAACUCAAAUAUCUUAUUAUAUUUAUGGAGUGAUCAUCCAAUAGUAAGUAUUUUGUGGUAUUAUUGGAUAAUGUAUUAAUGUUGUAUUGCCUAAGUGUUAGUUUAAUGAGAAGAAAAUAUUUUUUUUAAAGGAGAGAUUAAAUUAGCAUGAGAGGAUAUGAGAAGUGAAAGAUUGACAAAGAGGAUUAUGUAUGGGACAUUCCAGACAACAAUUCAAUUGUAAUUGAUCUGAGAAGCCUCUUUGCAUAUUUGUUCAUUAUUAUAUUUUGUCUUAUCUAGAAACCAGACAAAUGUUUAGGUUUGACGUUUUGGUUGAUACAUGGUAAUAACUAUUUGUAAUCAGCAUAUCUAAAAACACACCAAAGCGUAGUGAUAUUAACGCAUGAAUAAACAUAUGAAUGAUAUUUGAGAUGGGAUAGGAAGAGAAAGAUAGAAGAAAAUAGAUUUUGCAACAAGAAUUUGAGUAAGACUAAAUAAUAAAAGUAAACCUCUGAAUUUGUUUCCUAGGAUGUGUGGAUUAAUAGUAUUUAUGCACUUUGCUUAUGUGUCUACACAGUUUAAACCAUGGUUAAAUUUGAUAGUUUAAUUGUCACAAAAUCCUAAAUCAGAAUGUUGCAUCCACUCAAAGUCGAAAUGGAAAGGGGGAAUGGGCUGUUCUGUCCUUGCAACCGCAGCAAUGGUGACUAAGUUGGUAUCCUGAGCAGCAAUUGUGUCUAGUGGCACCAAGGUUGUGGUGGUGUUGGCCAUUAAGGUGGCGGCACUGUCCACCGAGGAUGUGAUGGAAGGCACAAUGCCGGUACCAGUGGCGGCCACAAUGGCAGGUUCAGCCUUGUGUAAGAGCCAUUCGAUGGUCUCACCGUCGGUUUUCUUGCCUAGCUCACGGGUGAGUUGGAAGAUACGAGCAGCACAGAUUGCUGAUAGACGAACUCGACGGUCUCUUCCAUUUACCUUGAUGUGGCGGUCCCUCUUCAUACCUCUGGAAGAACCUCUCUUGUUUCUCACCAUUGAAGAACCUUCAUUAACUGAAAAAGAUUCAUAUUCUCUCUCUACUACACUUAUGUUAUUCACUGAACCCAUUGAAUUCAUGGUUUUGAUCAUCCAGUAUUAGCUGCAGCAGCAGGUUUAUAUAAACUGGUUUUUCAUACUCCUUACUCAGUAAGAAUAUUAUAUUACUAUUAAUAUUAAUGUUAUUACUAAUUAUUAAUAUUAUUAAUGUUAAUAUUAUUAAUGUUAAUAUUAUUAUAUUACACACAAUUAUGAGGGCAGGGAUUGACUGCAGUGUUUAUUCUUAAGAUUCAUAAUGAUAAUUAAUCAGGCCAGCGCAUGAUCAGAGUUUGAAUAUCUGGUUUUCUGAAACUUGUAUGGGGUAAAGUCAUUAAUACUUUUUUGUAACUCCCUCUUGAAGUAAUUAAGCAUGAGGGCAUCAUCCAUAGGAAACAAGGAGCGUAAGAGGUUUCCAUUCAAAUUUGGCCUGUGUUAACCAGUGGCGCCUUUAGAAAGUGAAAUUGCCGUUACCAAAUGCACUGAGAAUAAGCCAUGGCAACCGUUUUGCAGUCACUGAUGGCACUACAGUUCAAAUUUUCAACGUUCUUAGUUGUCUUCUCUGCAUGGACUUUAACAAAAGCUGAGUAAAUAAUCGCUAUCCUCUCCAUAAACAACCCAGUUAUUUAUAAGAUAUUAAAUAAGAGAGGGGUAUAUUUAUUUCCGUUAAUGAACCACAUUGUACUUGGAAACAUAGUCAAAUACACUUUGAUGAAAUGUUAGAAACAUAUUCUUUACUAUUUAAUGUAAUUUAUUGAAAAUUACAAAAUUGUGUUAAUAAGUUUCACUGUCUAACUCAUGAUUUGUAGUUCCUAAUAAAUUUAUUUAACGUGCAAUAGAAAAUGUAGAGAAGCAUGUUUAAAUAGUGUGUUGCUAACACUGAUCUCACUAAGAACCUAAGAUUGUGAGUGAAAUUAGUCCAAUUCUAUAUACCGAGGCCGCUGCACCCUUCAUGUGAAAGCACUACAUAUCUGUGUUCUGAUUUUAUGUGGGCAAAUUAUUUAUUAAAUAACAUUUAUUUUCACUCCAUGUAAGGGAGGAAAAAAACCUCAUUUCACAGAAAGAGCCGGUGCUUAUUUGGAUGUCAGUGUCACUCUACAGUUUCUUCUACAGGUUCAUAGUUAUUAACUUCUUAUGGUUCGAGAUGCUCUUGUACAGAAAAAAUUCGAACCUUGAUUUCACACUUCAAUUUAACAUGUUUGUCUACAACCCUCAACAAAGUAAUGCUGACAAUAAUAUUAACACUAAUUAGAACAUACCGCACAGUUUUCUCUGUACAGAAUCCAUUUCAGCCACACAUGUAUCUCCAUGACCACUCACGCAAAGGAUUGAUGAUUAUCUCCAUAUCAAGAUCUGGGACCUCGGAUUAGUGUUAACGUCAUGUGUAUUCUUUUUGUUAUUCUGCAUAUCAUAUUCGUGGCAAAACAAAAACUCCGUGAUUCGGCAAAAAUAAUGGAUCACGCUACUCAUUUCACUGGGUUUUCUUCCAACAUAUCUUCAUCACAGUUGUGAGGAAGACUAAAAUCUGACACCUCUUCAAUAUCAUCUUCAGGCUAAUAAUGAGAGAUAUACAACCAAUAUGGUUACCAAAACAAAAUAAGAUGAAAAUGUCGAACACAUUCAAGACAGUCAACCUACCUGCCAUAAUUCCAAUAGCUGCCAUAACAAGAAACCAACAAUCAUGACCAAGCAAAACAGCUUGCCCGCCCACGCUCCACAGAAGAGAUAUCUACAAGAACAGAGACUGUCAGCACAGGUAGAAGUAACUCCUUAGGUCAUUACAGCAAGUAUACUUUAAAAUUGAAAUGGCAUCAGUCUUUGAAUAAAGAGGAAAAUCUUAGAAUUAUCAUAAUCAUAAUAAUAUCAUGGUAUUAAGCUGUUGAAUGAAGAUCCAGAAAUACAUUUCUAUACCAAGUGUCAACAAGCAUGUGUUACUAGCAGAUUAAACAAAGUUAUGGUGAAGUGGUUAACAAGGUCACAUAAGUCAAAACUGAAUGAACAUUGGAGUUCCUAUUACCGUAUCAACUCUAUGUUAGCAUCGCAAGCAAAUUGAACCAAUGAUGUUUAGAGAGUACCGUGAGAGUCUUUCAAGAAGAUUUUGGUUGGAGCACUUCAAAGCACGAUCAUAUACAAUUUCAGUCCUUUUGGCAACAUCAUGCCAGUUGUAGAGUUCUCUCAUCUACAAAAAUUAACAUUAAAAGAGGGUCUAACUUAGCCACUAAAUGCAUCCGAAAGACUACGUCAUCAACAACUCACUCGAUUAUGCAUGACUUGCGGAUCAAUCUUUGGCAGCAUAGAUAUUGCCUUUUGAAUUGCAUGCACCAUAUCACCAGGAUCAGGCUCUGCCAAAACAAUCAUUUCAUCGGGCAAAACCUAUAAGCAAAGAAGCUAAUUGGUAUAAAGUCCCUCAAGAUAGCAGUAUAUAUUCUUAAACUGAACCAGUAUAGAGGGAAAUACUUUGCAUCUACCUCAGGAACUCCUCCGACUCUUGUGCUCACUGUCAAUAAUCCACAACUUGCAGCUUCUAAUAUGGCUAUACAAAAAGCUUCUGUUAAAGAACUGAAACAGUGCAAACAUUAUUAAUGAUUAAAAUAUAUAUGCAAUUAAGCAUUGUAACAGUAGCUAACAUGAGAACCCGUAACAAUGAAAGAACUCUAGCGCCUAGGACUGCCCAAUGUCCACACUUAGACAACAGAACUAUAAAUCCAUUGUUCCAAAGCUUAAGAUAAAAAGAGAUUUGCUACAGGAGCCAAACCUGUUUAAGAAGAUGUGCCCAGAUAUCAGAACAGAUCGAACUUGUACAUGUUGCACAGCUCCCAACAUUUCCACUCGAUCUUGAAGCGAAUGCUUUUCUCUCAUCUCUUCCAACCUCACACGCUUAGGUCCAUCACCUCCAAUAAUGAAACGAACCUUCGAAUGGAUAUGUGUUAUGCCUUUGAAAGCAUAUGAUUAAAAAAGAAGAAACUAAUCAAAUCAUUUCUAUAGCAUUACAUAUUUCUCUUGGAACUUGCUUCUGGUAUGUGCACACUAUAAUGUUAAUGAUAAUAUAUGCCUAAAUCUGCCAAACACGGCUAUUUGUUCUGUCAAUAGAUAAAAAGUUACAUCACAGCGCAGACACAUGCCUGAAAAUUUUUUGGAAAUAUAAGCAGAAAGUUCAUUCCCGAGCACUUUUCAAAGGAUUAGUACUGUCUGCAUUGGCCAAAGUACCAUACAAUCUUCAAAAGAAAUGCCUAUAUACUAACUAUCUGAAUGCAGCCCAAGUUGGAUAUUCAUGUACAUUUUUUUACUGAAUAUUGUAAGAGGAGGAUCGGGGAACAUCGAUCUUUCAUCACCUAUUUAAGCUUGGAUUUUAAAAUUAAAUGAGAUCUCUCACACAUGUCUGAGUUAGCUGAUAAGAAUUUAUUGAUAUUGAACAAUAAAUGACAAAAUUAAGAAAACUAUUUUUUACUAACAUUCCUCUGUGCCCUAUGUAAUUCUUCAUCAUGAAAGUAGUCUCCUGUAUGAAACUAUAUGACGCCCAAUUUUCAAUCAGAUGGUAAUUCUCCAACUCAUCAGAAAGCAUUAUGAAAAUAACUCAUUAGGGAAUGCUGUGGCUUUAUAAUCACAGCUGAUAAACCAUUGCAUCACAUGUUUAUUAUUGCUAAAAACUCAAAAAUUCAAGGAUCUAAAAUUACAAAAAACAGAUAUUUAGUGAUAGCACGAAUUACAAAAUUAUAAUCCUACACAUAGAAUUGAAGAAAAGGCACAGGUACUUCAGGUAUUGCAUAUAUUUGAUACACAAACUAAAGCCAUGAAGACCAGUACUUGGGCUUUUCUCAACAGCAUCUAUAAUAUCAUUCAGUCAGACCAACAGAAAAAGUGCACACUGAAAUUUUACCAAAGUUUGCAACUUUGAACACUGUAAUAUAAAGCUAAAGCACUCUGAACAGAGCGUUUAGCUUAUUCACAUCUCUUCCAUGUAAGAAACUGAAAUCAAAAUUUCCUACUUAUGCAGGGCAAAUUAACAGUGUUUUCAUCAUCAACUCACAUUAGGAUGUAAUCGGCAUACUUCUGGAAUGACUUCAACAAGUAAAUCAACUCCCUUUCGAUAAACCAAUCUGCUGAUAACAACAAUAACAAUUUCUGGUCCGCUUGGACGAUUCACUGCAGGCUUGAAAAUGGCAGUGUCCACAGCAUUAGGUACGACAAAAACCUUCUCAGGUGGCAAACCUGACCGCAGCACUGUGUUUUCCUUGCUUGUAUGGGAAACACAAAUGGCUUGACUCACAUCUGCCAAGGUAAACUGUAACACCUUGUUCAUGUGAAUACUUCCAACAUCAGAAAAACCAUAUAGUGAAUGAUCUGUAAACACAACCUUGUAUCCCAUGGUUCUUGCAUGCAUAAGAGCUUCAUGACAAAAUGUUGAAAAGGCUUGGUGUCCAUGCACCACUGUAAUUCUUUCUCUGAUAAGAAUAAUUCUAAUAAUUGGUAGUAAUCCAUAGAAGGUUGGUAAUGUAUUCUGCAUAACAAACGGCCUCCAUGGAACAUAGUAGACUUUCAGACCACCAGUCAUAUAUCUGACCCCAGACCGAUUUCCAUAAGAAUGAGUUGCAACCACCACCUGAAUAGUCAUUUUAUUUGAAUUCACUUCAUUACAAACACCCUCAGCAUAAGUAAGAAAAAAGAGUAAGUUACUCUCAUUCCCCUAUAAUUCGCAUUUACAGCAUAAACCUUCCAUCCACAUAUAUAACGGAAACCAAUCUCAUGUGCAACUAGGUCCAAGUGCCGCUAAACCUAAUCAAUUUGUUAACUCAAGUGUCCACUUGGUUUGCAAGUAAAUCAAUUUAUAGAACACGUCCCAAUGCUAAAGAUGAGCUUAAUAUACAGAACUCGUCUAAAUCAACAAUUCAGAAUCAAUUCUACCAAAAUCUAAAACAAACAGGCACUAAAUUGUUGGAUUGUCUACAGUCAGCGUGUACAAGCGUGUUCACUCAUUAGUAACUUAAAAUUGUAAGACGGUUCAUAUUUUAUCUCGAUAAAUCAAAAUCAAAAUUGAAAAUUUGAGAUUUGAGCCACCGAAUCUCAUCAUAAAAAAAAUCAUACUGCUUUGAAUCUAUAUCCCCAGUUUACAGCUACCCAAGCAUGUUGAAUCGGCCUAGUGGAACCUCCAGUUUAGUUCUCAUCAAAAUGAAAGCGUAGUGAGAAAAAAAAAUACAAAAGCUCUCAUAAUUGAAUGAAUGAAAGAAAGAAAAAAAAAGGCUUACCUUGUGGCCUAGCUUGAGCAAACACUGUGAGAGGUAAUAUAUGUGAUUCUCCACACCACCAAAGUUGGGAUAGAAAAAAUCUGACACCAUCAGGAUUCUAUGCUUUUGAGGAUCACCCAUCAUCAUGUCCCCUGACACACGUACAUCUGCCUGCAUCAUAACAGUAAUCGGAGAAAUCAACACGCUAUGGAGGCUCUGCAAACCCUAAUACGAUUGAGAAAUGAAAGACUCAACUAGAGUGAAAGCAACGACUCACUUGAAGACGCUUUAUUGAAUACCCGUGACCUUCCAACAAUGGUGGAAGCAAUGACUGGCUCAAUGAAGAAGCUUGUGUGUCUCACCAGAAAAAGAAUAUGAUCACAAAAUCCUUGCCAGAAAAAUAGAUUUGAAAACCGAGAUUCAGUGUUCAAUCCAAACAGAGAAUGUUACUUUCCAGCGAAAAGAACACAAAAGAAUUUUUCUGCCACUUACCAAUUUUGAACUAGGGUUAAUUUAUCUAAAUAUUUACCAAUCCUAAUAACUUUCAUGUUCCAAAUUUUGCUAAAAUAAAAUAAAAUAAGAAGGGUUAAAUAAGUUUUUAGUCCCGGACGAUUUUAGUCCUUCAACGCUAGAAAACUCUAAUUUUAUUUUUUUUAUCAAAUUUUGUUAACUUUAUCUGUUAUUUCAAACGCGUUUCUCAAUUAACAAUGAAGCAAAAAUGUGUCAAUGUAAAUAAUCCAAAUGUUAUAAUCAAACCGCAAAUAAAAUUUAAAAAAAUUGGUAAAAAUGACUAAAACCAUAGUUUUUUAGAGUUAAAGGACUAAAUUGUACCUUGAAAAGAAUUAAAAAUAUAUUUAACUCAACAUAAAAUAUCACCAUAACAUUUUAAAUAAAUAAAUAGUUUCUCUUAUUGGUGAAAAGAAUAUCGUCUUACACUUAUAUAAAUUAAGAAAUUAUCAACUUUUAUAUAUAUACAUAUAUAUAUAUAUAUAUAUAUAUAUAUAUAUAUAUAUUGAACUCCUGCAAUAAUUAUCUCAUAAAUCCUGUUUUAAUAAACAGUAUAAAAUUAUAUUCAUUAGAAUUUAACGGGGGCUUGCAUGAAACAAUUGGUACUAGUAAGAAAAAUCUUUGACAGUUUUUAGUUACCUAAUAUUGUUGUUAAAACAUAAUACUAAAUUGACGUCAAAUAUAAUUUUUUAAAAAGGUAUUAUAAAUAUUUUUAGUAAUAAAUAAUAGAAAAUAAUAUUUUGGUGAAAGUAUAAAUAUAUACCUUAUAUUCUAUGUAUAUUCCCCAAAAAUAUAGUAUAAACUAUAUAAAAAAUUUGUUACAUACAUAAUAAGGUAUUUCAGUUAUCCGAUUUUAAAAGUGUAGAUAUUGAGUUUCAAAGUUUUCAAAAUUGUAUGAAUUGAGUCUCUUCGAUUAAAUUGACAGAAACAGAAUUACUUCCAAUUAAGGUGGCAAAGGAAUCUGCAUUUUUUCUUCUCUCUCCUCUGUCUUUACCUGAAAUGCUCCAGCUUUUUCUCUCUUUUAUAUUUUUAUUAAAUAUUUUUUCUGCGAAACCUACCUCCAUUAUCAACUUAGAAAGCACCUACAUGCCACCGCCCGCAAAUAAGUUAAUAACCCAACACACACUUCAUGGCAAUAAUAAUAACAAAACUAAUAAAAUUGUGUUGAAAUACUUCACGACCACCCUUUGAAACUACUUUUCUACAAAAUACUUUCGCAUCACAUAGAAUAAGGUUGAAACCAUCAAGUGAAUGUUGGCUCCAUGUUGGUAAAAUAUACAUUGGCAUAUUCGCAAACACAUAGAGUCCAUGUUAUUUGCCCCCACUUUGCCUCAUUUACCUAGGUAUCCAACACAAUUAAACCAUAUAAGGAAAAGCAAAUUAUAAAAUUACAAUAUGAGUAUUUAUUUAACCAGAAACUAGACUUGGUUUCAGUUUGAAUUUCAAAUGUUUGCACAUUUUCUUGUAGGUCUUGUCCAUAUUCUUUCUCAAUGUUUAUAUUUUCAAGGCUAGCUAAGUUCUUCAUAUUUAACAAGUUCAGCACUAGGUGUUUUAUCAUUAUCACUCAGGUUUAAUUGAGAUAGAUUUCUCAACAAGCAUUUGGAUAGGGCUGCGGUUGAGAUAAAGCAUCCAUAUAAACAAGAGAUUCACAAUUUCCAAUAAAAGUUGACGCAUAAUGGUCAUUUUUAGGAUAAAUGGCUUAGGUGCAAUGCUCAAUCUUUAUACAUUUUAUAGAUGAUAAGGUAACACAGUUAUCCGACCAUAAUAUAAAAUAUUAUACUUUACUGUUAUCCAAAAUAACUAUAGAAUUUAAAACUUUACAUACAAGGAGUUAUCAAAACUAUACAUAAAGCUAUUUUAAAGUCCAAUUAUGAUGUAGCAUCCUCGCCCUCCAAAGCCUGCUCUAGAGAAAUCUCCUCUCCCUCUGGUCACAACCAUAGGAUGAUCAUUGCAAAGGAAAAAUACCACACAUACAAAACACAAUCACAAGCAAAAGGGUAAGCUAGAAGUAAAUCAAUUAAUGAUACAUUCAUUUAACUAAACAUUCAUCUAAGGAGCAUACAUACAUAUCAUAACAACAAAACUUUAUACUUGACAAACCAUUGACUUGACUAUCCGGAUUAAUAUGAAUACGUAGCUAUGGCAGUUCAUGCACUUGUUGUGGUAAAACAGUUGGCCUACCCCAAGCUACCACACAAGGUUAGUUCGUUAUCACUCACCUUGGGUCAAGGAAAAGUCUCUAGGCUAGGACCUCCUGCUAUUCUCAUGACAUGCCUUACCCCUCUCUACUUGAGAACGGGUGACCAUUAGAAUGUCAGGAUGAAACCCAAGACCGAGCUUCUCAUAUUCAUACUUGUGACUUUAACAAACAUCACUGAGAUAUUCCUCCUUGGAAUUCUCUUCCACAUCAUUUAGAACCAUAAACCUUACUUUGAUACUUAUAUAACACUCGUUCAAUAUCAUCCAUCAACCACAACCAAGUCAAAUUCAGUAGUUCACAAAACAAGAAACAAAGAAGAAAGGAAAGCAUGAUAACCAGGCACAGCCGCUCAGCGCACACCUUCGCUGAGCGAAUCCAGAUGUUUCUUACACAACAACUCAUCUUGUUGUGCGAAUAAACUCCUAGUGAUACCAGAUCUCAUCCCAAUUCGCUAUGCGAAAGCGCAGACAGUGGUCCAGACCCCCCCCCCCCCUUACCCAAUAAACUCCCAAUGGUACAUGACCACUCGUUGUGCGAAUUUAUUCGUUCAGCGAGUUUGCAUAAUUCUGCGGUACGAAUUCUGCGAAAUUAAGCAACUCAACCCCCCUUUUACUAAUUCUAAUUAUUUUUCCCAACUUCUAACCCUCCUAAAUUGUGUUAUACACCUAAUUGGACUUGACCAAACGUUUAUAAACCUCCCUACCAUUAUUCUAAAGUGUUUAUGGACCAAUUCCUCCUCAACAACAUCAAAUUCACCAACUUAAGGACUCAAAUCACAUUCUACCACUUUUGAAACUAUUUUCAGCAACUUAAGGACUCAAGCAAGUCCUAAUUCCAACACACUAAUUCAGCACUCAACUCCUAAUUCAAAAUUUCACUACUCCACUUCCUCAAAACUAAUUUAAACAAGUAUAACUCACUUAAAUCUCCAUCUAAUCACUCUCAUAACAGAUUCCUCACAUCUCAUAUGACCAAUUACAGAUUUCACAUUAUCCAAUUCAAUUCGCAAUCACCGUUUAUUAAUCUCACAAUCCAGCAGUCAAAUUACAUACACCACAAUUUAGUCAAAAACUUAAAUUUAUUUCAAUCAGCGCCAUAAACAUAGAAUAAUCAAACUUACAUGUCAAACUACUAAUUAAAGCAAUAAUCUAGCUCCCCUUACCUCAGAUCAACAACAAAGCUCAAAGAAACUCCGACCGUUUACUUGUACCGCAAGAAAUUUCAGAGAGCUCAAGAAAAAUAUGGUUCUAGAAAGAUGCAAGUGAUUUAGAUUUGAACCAGAGUUUUAGAAAAUUUUAUUUAUAUUAUAUGAUUAUUUUAAAAUAAAAUGUUUGUCUCAUUAUUUUAAUACACCUAUGUAUUCUAAUAUCCUAUUUUCUAGGUUCUUACGUUGUAAAAGUUCAGAAUUAUAUCAAGGUAAAUAUUUUUUUCGUGUUCAAUUAUAUUUAAUAAAAUUUUAAUAUUUAUACUAAUAAAUUUAAAAUUGUAUACUAAAAAAGUUUGUUAUUGUUUGAUAUUAUAAGAAUCUUUUAGUUAAGGAGGUGAAAAUUGAUUUAUAAAUCUAAACCUUAAAAAAUUGAAAAUUGGUAUCGCCCCUUUCCUAAUCCCUGACAAUGCUUACGAUCUUUAUUGUUCAUUCUAAAAUAUAAUUAAUUUCGAACUUUCUUCAAAAAUCACAGAGUAUCCCAAAGCAUUUAACUAAUUAAUUAUUAUUUUUAAUUCAACCAAUCCUAAAAGGUUGUUCCAUUUUCCUGUUAAAGCUUCCAUUUUUAAUUAUAUCGUGUUCAUUACAGCACGAUAAUGUCUUAUAUUUUGUUCCAAACAAAUUUAAAAGUUUAGGAAAAAAAAAAUAAACAACCUAAUGUUGUUGCAAAAGUAAAAUGAAAUUUAAGGUUCUGUAUGGGCCUUUUUUUCAUUCAUACAUAGCCCAAUAAAAAAAUUAAUGAAAAGUGGAGGGGUGUUUCAUCUUACACCUCCAAGCCUUCAUCUCCACCUCCACAAAUUUCAUUUUUGACCUUCUGAUAACUAAUCUUCCACCUCUAACUUUUUCAAGAAGUUUUAUUUUUAACUCUAAUAAAUAUUUUUCAUAUUUUUUCUCUUUCUUAUUAAAAAUACUCUGCACCACCUUAAUAAUAAUUUAAUUUAAUUUAAAAUUCAAAUAUUAUUUAAUAUAAUUUUAUAUUUUAAUAAUUAUUAAAGUGUGAUUUAUAUUAUAAUAGUAAUUAUAUUAAAUAAUUAAAAUAAAAAUAAUAAUAGUAAAAAUAAAAAUAAAAUAGUAAUAGUUAUAUUAAAAAUAUAUUAAAUUAUAUUAAAAUAUUAAAUAAAUUAAAUAAUUAUUAAAUUUAAAUAUAUUAAAUUAUAUUAAAAUAUUAAAUUAAAUAAUUAUUGAUAACCCUAUACUUCGAAUAUAGAUAUCCGAUGUAGUUGUUUUUAAAAUUCUGUUUUUUAUUUAAAUUUAAUAAUUAUUUUGUUUAAUUUAAUAAUUUAAUAUAUUUUAAUAUAGUAAAUCAAAUUGAUUAUUACUAUUUUAUUUUUAUUUUUAUUAUUUUUAUUUUUAUUUAAUAUAAUUAUUAUUAUUAUAAUAUAAAUCAUACUUUAAUAAUUAUUAAAAUAUAAAAUUAUAUUAAAUAAUAUUUGAAUUUUAAAUUAAAUUAUUAUUAAGAUGGUGUAGAGUGUUUUUAAUAAAAAAGAGAAAAAAUAUGAAAAGAUAUUUAUUAGAGUUAAAAAUGAAACUUUUUGAAAAAACUAAAGUCGCAGGAUCAGUUGUCAGAAGGUUAAAAGUGGAAUUUUUGGAGGUACAGGAUGAAGACUUGGAGGUGUAGGAUGAAACACCCAAAGUGGAGACCGAAAAUGGUUCCCAUUUUACUUUUUUGUUCAAUGUAGUCCUAAAGAAUGUAAUUUGUGUUUUUUUACGUAAUUUGUGUUUAAUUUAGUCCUUUUUACAAACUCCGUGAACCACAAACAAGGACUAAGUUGAACACAAAUUACGUUCUUUAGGACUACGUUGAACAGAAAAAUGACUAAAUUGAAGACAAAUUACGUUUUUUAGGACUAAAGUGAACAGAAAAAACAAAUUGGGACCAUUUUGAAUGUUACCAGCCAAAACUGGGACAAAAAAGGUAUUUUAUCCGUAAAAAAAUUCAAUUCAAUUUUUACCUUCCUUUUUGUUGUUUAAUUAAUUAAAGGACAAAAGAAAUCUAAAUAAACAGCAAAAAUAAUAGUCUAAAUUACAAUUGUUGUUUACUUCUUGAUUUGCAUCCUCUCUUUUUUUUUUUUUCUCAAUUUUACCGUUUCAAUUUUAAAAAAUUAUAAUUGGGUUCAAUUCGAGUUCAAUUCUUAACUUUAUAUUUUAAAUUAGAGUAUUAAGUUUAAGGUUCUACUGAAUCAGAAUAAAAUAAAAAAUAUUAAAAUUUUGACCGAAAUUACAAAUUUUAUACGAGAAUAAAAAUAUGGAAAAUUUUGAGAAAUCAAAAUUGUGACUCAAUAAUGAAAUAAGAACAGAGAUUACUUACUACUUAAUCAAGAUAAUGGCAAUGAUAGAUAUUAGGAAUUGGAAUAAUUAAAUAAGAUUAGUCAGUAUUUACAAAGCGAGCUUUAUAAUAUGAAAGGACUGUAUGCUUUCAUUAGAAUCUGUCAAUCUAAUAUUGAUCUCUCAAAUUAUAGAUUAGUGCGUAUUGGAAGUUUUUGGCUUAUCUUAUUAAGGGAAAAGUUAGUGUGUCCGUCUACAUAUUUUUUACUUUUUAGUUUAUAUAAAUAUUUUGUAAUCAUUUAAUUAACAUUUUUAUUAGGACAAAAUUAAGAUAAUUACUAUUAUUAUGUGUUACAUUAUUCUAGUAUGAUCAAUAGUUGAAAUUUAAUUUAUAAAUAUUUAUAAUUUAAAUUAAAAUAAUAUUGUAUAUUUAUAUUUUCCAAAAAAACUAAAUUAUAUAAAUUAUAGUUUCUAUUUUAGUUAUGAUAAAUAUUUUUAAUUAAUUGAAAGAAAGACUAAGGUACUCUUAUGGGUUAAAAUAGCCAAUCCAGAAUGCUGAAUCGAUGGUCAAUUAAAGAUGGACCCACUUGGGUCAUCUUACAAAUUUGUGGAGCGGACAAUAAUCAUAAUAUUAGAAGUAUAAUUAAGCUCAUUUCAAUGGAAAAAGUAAAAAACAGAUAAACAAAACCGUAACAAAAUUAUAUAUAUAGUUAGUUUAAUUUAAUUUUAAUAUAAAUAAAAUUUAACUCGAUCAAACUUAUAUUUAUAUAUUUUUCAAAUUACUUUUAUGUUUUUAUUAUAUAAUUUGUUAUUAGAAUCUUAUUUUUUCACCAUGAUAGCAAAAUAAAUAUUUUUAUUUUUUUUCACUAAACUUAUAAAACGUUUUGUGACCUAGUAUAUAUUUAUUAUUUAUUACAUAAUUUAUUUACAAAUAUUACUGAUUUUUCUAUUAGCAAAACAAUUUCAUAAAAUACGAGAAGGAAAGAGUUGUUUGCCUCUUUUGUCAUGAAAACACAAAGAAGGUGGUAAUUAUGUUAUAGUGCGAUCAAAACACAUUAGAACAUGUGAGUUGAGUUGGCUCCUCAUAAGUUUGGAUCGGAUUGGGUUGAAAAAAAUUUUUUUUUGAUACGAAUCAAUUAUGAAUUCAACUUAUUAAGAAUUCGCUCAUUCAUGUUGAACCUGUGGUGAGUUAAGUUGGCUUAUCAAGUCACCUAAUUAUUACUUUGUGUUUCAAUAUUAUUAGUUAACACUCUUUUUUAUUGUAUUAUUGAUAAGUAUCCAUUUAAAUGAAUUUUAAGACAAUUUAGACACUUAUCUUGUUUUAAUUUUGUUAACAUUAUAUUUAAUUCACUCUUAUUUAGUUUUUUUUUGUCAGUUCUUUAUAUAAAAUAAAGAAUCAAAGUGGAAAAUGAAAAAAGUAAAAGAAAUUUUAUCAAAAAACAAAUAACAAAUUGACUUUAGCGUUGCUACAACACUAAAAUUGGGACUUGAGCUAUACAAAGAAAGCCACAUAUGAAAGAAAACUUUAAGACCUGACCCGAGGCUUAAGUAAUAAAGAAUCAUUCAUCUAGAGGUAAUUUCAAGAGGCUCGAGCACAGAACACAAGACAUAAGCCAAAGAGGAAACCCACCUUAGGAAGAAACCUCACAAUUGAAGCCAUCAAAAUGUAAGGCUUGAGGCAUAGAGGAAGCCCACCGUGGAAGGAAACCUCAAACAAUCACCUUUGGAAGCAUUUAGAACAUCACUUUUAUGACUUUAGCCAAAAAAAUGUGCAACUGAAGUUGCAGAAAGGCACUUUAGAAAAAUCUAGAGUAAAUCCUUUACACACCCAAAGUUGCGGCUCAAGCCAUGUCCUGAACAAUUAUAAAUAUAAACCUCAAGUCUUCAUUUUAGGCAUUAAGUGGAGGACCAAAAAUGUAGUAAUAGAGUAGGAAUGCGUUUGUGAGGCUCGAAAUAGAUGCUUUGAUUAUAAAUCUUAUGCUUAGAUGUUGUUGGAAUUGCAUUGCAAUAUUUUAUGAGUAGCCGAACUCUCUCGUGUUGAGAUUGGAUGUAAUCAGUUUGACUCUUUGUACUUCUACUUAAUGAAUAUUUAUUUAUGCUUUUAUUCAAUCUAUUUUGUGAAUUGGGUUAUACUUGUUGUUGGACGAACUAAUCACUCGUCUUAUCUAACUUACUAGUGAUUUAGUGAGAAUUGGUCUCAUGUUGUCCAAUCAAUUUUCCUGUGGUCUUCUAGAUGUUGGGAAUAGAUCUAGAUUUUGUCACUAGAAUUACAGUCUUAACAUUAAUGCAUAUGAGCUUAUUAUGCAAGAUGAUUCAAACUUAGUAGACUAGCAAUAGCCUAGGCUCUUGGUGACAGGAAUGGACCUAGGGUGACAAUCAAAGAGAACUCCCAAGUUAGUAAAAUUAUUUGUGUAAGUUCAUAAACAACAACAAUAGUGGUGCAGUGGAAAAGGUGAGAUGAAAAUCACUCAUAACAUCUACUUCAGUCAAUCGAUAUGAUAAAUACUACUAUCAAUAAUUUUCAAAUACGUACUUUCUGUCAAAAUACAAAAAAAAAAAAAAAACCAUCAAUAUGCUUACUAAAUCCUUGUGGAUACGAUUGCCCUUAUUUGGUUGUACUACAAAUGACUUUGUGUACUUUCCAAUAAGUCACACAGGUGAAUAAAUCUUUUAAAAUUUAAUAUUGUGUGAUUUUGGGGAUUAUGAGGCUUAAGCCUAAUGAAAAUAAAAAUCACAACCGAAGUCCAAACUCCGUCAAUUAUAGAUUGGGAUAAAGAAAAAUAUGUUUCAAGAAAGAAAAAUAUUAAAGAUUUGUCCAUUUAAGAAACUAAUAUUUUUGAUGGAAAAGUAACAUAAAAAUUAUCAAUGUUAAGCACUUUUUUGUUUUGCCUUUUGUGUUUGAUUUUGCAUUGUAUCUGGAGUUUAAAAUGAUUUAGGGUUGUAUUGUACUUUUUUCUAUUUUUAAUUGCCUGUAGAGUUUAACAUCUUUUUAGACUGAAACUUAUUUAGAUUUGAAUUAGAAAAAUUUUAUAUUUCUUUAAUUGAUAAAAAAAACUUUUAAUUAAGUGAGCUAACUUGUUUAAUCUACCAACUUGUGAUAGACCAGACCAAGUUUAAAUUUUUUCGAUUCCCUAAUAAAUAAACUGGAUUGGGUUGACUAGCUAUACAAUCAACCCAUGAUGAGUUGGGUCGGGUCAGGUCAGGUGGUUCGUUUUGAUAACACUAUUAUGUUAGGGUGUUGCUCCCUCCACCUCCCCAGGUGGGUCAUGCACCUCCCCACUAUUUUAAUUUAUUUCAAAAAUAUUCUACACCUCUCCACUAUUUUUUUUAUUCCAAAAAUACCCUACACCUUCCCACUAUCCUUAACCAUCUUUCUUUACAUUAAUGGAGUAUUUACAUGGCUCAUUAAUGGAGCAUUUACAUGACUCAAAUUUGAAUUUGUGAUAUAUUUUUUUAAAUAAGUUUGAUUCAAUCUUAUUUUUGCUGCCGAAUAUAUUUUUUUCUUUUCAAAUUACUUAAUAAAUGGUAAAAUUUUGUUCUAAAUUUUUAGAAAAAUGUUUAUAUAUGUGUGUGUUUCUUUUACAUAUAAUAUCUAUAAUUUUUUACAUAAUAUUAUAUUUUAACUCACCGACAUGUUUGACUCAAAUGAUUUGAAUAAAAUAUUUAAUUUAUUAGAUAAAUAAUAUAAAAAUAUUAUUAAAUACUUAAAAUAUAUAAAAAAUAUUUGUUAAAGAUUUAGAAUUUAUUUAAUUCUUUCGUCGUUAUAAAGUCAGUAUAUAAUAAUAAUAUAUCAUUAUUUAUUAUUAAUAUUAUUAUGUUUAUUAUUUUGUAUUUGUAUCUAACUUUUAAUUUUAUAAAAUGGAAAUGGUGGAAGUACUAAUAUUGAAGUUUCCUCUUAAUUUUAUAUUUUUGUAAUAUAUCACAAAUUCAAAUCUGAAUCAUGUAAAUGCUCCAUUAAUAUAGAGAGAAAGAGAAAGAUUGUUAAGGAUAGUGGGGAGGUGUAGGAUAUUGUUGGAAUAAAAGAAAAUAGUAUGAAUGUGUAGAAUAUUUUUAAAAUAAAUUAAAAUAGUGGAGAAGUGCAGGAUCCAUUUGAGGAGAUGAUUUAUAAUAAACUUUAUCAUUUCUUGAGUUAAAUACGAUUUUAGUUUUUAAACCUUAACACGAAAUUGAAAUUCAUCAUUACUCGAAAUUUUUAUAUAUUUUGGUUUUUUAAAUUAAAAGUGAAUAAAUAUAAUUUUUUUAAUCUAGUUCCGUCAAUUUUUUUAAAUGUCAAAUGUUUUCAUGUUUGUAGUUUUUAACAGGAAAUUGAAUUUCGUCCAUGUUUAAAACCUUACUAAAUUUUGGUCACUAAACUUGAAAAAUAAACGUGUAUGGCAUUUUUAACUUAACUAUGUUAAUUUUUUUUUACUUAUCCAUUUCGUUUUUUUAUACCAAUAUAUGAAUUAUUUACUUUGUUCAACCGUUAGAAAUCCUCUUGCAUAACAAUAUUUUACAAAAUUCAAAACAGAAAAUAUCAAAACCAAUAUUUAAUGUAUAUUUGAUUUUUAACACUUUUUUUCACUCGAGAUUAAUAAUGUAAUGUUCAUACCUUAAUAACUUUUUACCAUUCAUGUUAAACAUAUUAAACUACUAUUUUACCAAUAACUCAUACGCACACAUAACUUUAAUAUAUAAAUAAAAUAAUAAUAUUUAAAUAAGUUAUUAAUUAAAUCAAACUAGUUGAUUUAAAAUAAAAAUAUCCAAGGCGAUAUAAUAUUUUAUUUUAAUCUAUUAUUGACUUUUUUUAUUGGUUUCAAACAUAUCUUGUAAUCGUAACUUAUAUAUAAGAAGAUUAAUAAGUUUAUGAUUUUGGUCAUAGUGAGUCUAUUUGAAUGGGAAAUGGAAUUGAGCAUUACCCUACCAUAACUUCUAAAAUAAAUGAUGAUGGCCUUUGUUUUACCACCACAUUUCCUAAGCAAGUGACACAAACACAAACAAAUGUGUCUCAAUUGCUUAAAAAGGCAAAGCUAUACCCUACAUUUGAAGGGUCGCUGCCACAACACCUACAAUAUGGUCCCUUCACAAUUUAAUAACUCCUCUUCUAUUAUGCCUCCGUAUAAUUUAACACGUAUUUUUUUUUUUUUUAUAAAUCUCAUAACUUUUUAAACUCAAUUUUUUUUUUUAAUUUAUGAAAGUAAGCAUUCUAUUUUAAAUGAAAUAUAUCUUUAAAAUAACAUAAAGAAUACAAAUUAUAAAGAGUAAAAACAUGUUUAGAAAACAAUAAAAUAAGACCGCCUAAAUAGGUUUUUUUUUUUCAAGAGACAAACAUAUUACUAUCACUCCUAUCUAGCAUUGAUAAAAAAACUUGAAGCAACGGAUUAAAAGUAUAUUUGUCUACAUAAAUAUUCUCAUAGAAACUAAAAUUACACCUUCAUAAAAAAAAUACAAAAUUAAAAAUAGAUAUUUAAAAACAAAACAAAAAGUUGAAUCAACAAAAGAUUAUUCCACUUAAAAACAAAAGAAAGGAUGAUGUCAAAAUGAUGUCACCAUCUGGUCAAUCCAGUUAUGACUGUGUUGACUCUUUAGUUGAAUAUUGAGUGAUUGUAAAUAAAGUCUCAAUUAGUGAACAGGAAGUUAAACACAAUAUCUUAUAAUAUAUAUAUAUUUUGAGGGACAACUGUGUUGAUACAAUAAAUGCUGCUGUGCUCAGUAUACGAUGAAAUUAUAAUAAAUAACAGAGCCAGGUGAACUUCGAAAUAGGAGGAAGAGGCUCUAAUUUCUUUACCUGAAAAUCGUACAUAGAAUUAUAUCAUUAAAAUUUCAAUCUUAUAAAAUUUUCUUAUUUAAAUAUAUUAACAACAUCUAAAACUUACAAAAAUAGCAAAAAUAUCUUAUUUUAUUUUAUUUUAUAAUAAUGUUUUGUAAUUAUUGGAUUUUGAAAUAUUAAGAUAACUUAGAUGCCAACAUUUAUAGUGAAUUUUGACGUUACUUAGAAAAAUAUAGUAUAACACAACAAAAAUUAGUCAAUAAUAAAUAAAUUAAAAUAAUGUCACAUAUACGUGAGAAGAAUAACGAUAUUUAAAUAAUAUUUUAAUAUGAUUUAAACUGUAAUUUUUUAUUGAUUUAUGCAUGUGUUUAUAAUCAUUAUUUUGAUGGUGAAAUAAUUUUAUAUCAAUAUAAUGACACAUAUUAAAAUAUUGUAGAAAAAUUGAAAGUAGAAGAUAAUAAAUAAAUAAAUAAAAAUUAUUGUAAGUUGACCUUUAAGUAUCUAAAACUAGAAAAAAAAAAAAUUAGAGGGGGAUGAAAAGUGACAGGUGAAGAGGGUGCGUGUCACGUGGGCGGCACUGCUAGGUGAUAUAGCAUUAAAGAAAGUGUACGGAGGGCCCCAAAGCCACGUGAAGGGAGAAUGGAGUGUGUGUGAAAGAGAAGUUUACACGGUUUCCAGUUGUGAGAUGAUCUUCUUGAUUUUCAAAUAUCUCCUAAUAUGAUCUAUAAACAGGAUCGAAAAGUUGUUCUACUAAUAAGUUAUGAUUAACGAAAUGAAAGUACUGUCAGGUAUGUUAGAGAAUGUACUGUGGUGAGUGGACCCAAUGGGUUUUGGACAGAAAGUUGAAAUGGAAGGAUGAAUGUUGGAAGCGUGUGCGUGUUUGUGUGUUGGUGCAAUUAUUCACCACUUGAAGCCGAUUCAUUGCCUAGUUAGUAACGAUCAUCGCAUUCAAUGUUCAACCCCUGCUUCGUCACUGUCCAGGACCACUUCUCUUCUUCUUUUUCUUCUUUCUCUUCUUUCUCACUUUCCUUUUUACUCAUAUCUUCUCUUUCAUCAUCAACCUCAACCUCAAGAGAAUAAUCCAAUCUUUCUGCUAAUUAACACAUAAAUCUCUCUGCUAAUUUUUUUUACUUCCUACACCACCAAGAACAAAGAUAUUCUAUGGUGACUGGUGAUUCUGUUCAUGAGUAAGAAAAAGAAAGACGCAGCGCCAGACCGGUUUGUACGGAUUGGGCCAUGACCUUCUGAUGUGGAACAGGUGGUGGGAGCCUGCAUUUGACAACAGAGCCAAAAAUUUUCUAUAUUCCUUUAAAUAAACAAAUUAUUUUGCUUUUUCAUUUUAAUUUCUUCCACUCUAUUAAAUCAUUACAUCAUGAUGUUGUUUCUAAUUAAUUAAAAAUAAAUUCAAUUUUAAAUAUUUAUAUUUUAAUAUGUUAUUAUAAAUUUCAUUUUUCGAAUUAAAUUAUAUUUUAAGUCUAUUUCUUAAAAUUUAAAUUUUUUUUAUUUAUUAUUUUCUGUUACAUAACAUUAUUUAUUAAUAUUUUUAAGUCCUAAAUUAUUUGUUAAGAAAAAGAGCAAAAUUAACAUAUUAUAUCUUUAUAUUUAUAUGUAUUAAUGAAACAUCUUGUCUGUUCUAAAAAAAUGAACACAAUCACAUGUACAACUUUUUUUUUUUCUUUUUGGAAAAUAACUUUACUUUUUAAUAAACAUUUGACAAUUCAGUACUAAAGAGUAAAAUAUUCAUAAUUUUUUUUUUAUUUUGUAAAGAAAAAAAUAAAAAAAAAAUUAAUAGAUAUAUAUUUUUUUAGUAUCCAAAUAUCAUUAUUUUUCUUACUUGAUUCUCUAUUUUCUUUUAAGCUGUAUUCUUAAAAAAAAAUAGUUACAAGCCGUAAAAAAAUAUUAUUUGCAUCAUAUGUUUUAAAAGAUUUAAAAACAUAUAUUAGUUUUCCUCACACUUUUUUAAAUUUCACAUAUAAAUAAUAAAAAUUAAAAAAGUAAAAGGUAUAAACUCGAAUUAAAGAAAAAUAUUAUUGUUUUCAUUUCAUUAGUUUUUCUUUUCAAACUAAAUAAUUUUGAUAAAGUACAUAUGUCAAGUAUACUCUAUCAUAACAUAUCACUUAACAAAUAAUGAAUCAUUUGAUGGAUGAUGGUAAAUUGUAAAAAUAAAACAUUAAUAAUUCCUUUUUUCCAAAGAGAUUUUUUUAUUAUCAAGAACUAUGGGUAUAUUUUGUAGAUUUAUGGAAAAUAGAAAAAAAAAUAAGUCUUAUUUCAAAAUUUAAUCACGAGUAACAAAAUUUUGAACUAAUUUCUUAAUAAAAAAUAUUAAAUGAAAAUUAUAUUUUAUUUUUAUAAAAUUAAUAACAUAUUUACAAUUAAAUUUUAAUUAGGUUAUUUUUUAAAAUAUAAUAACUAUUGUCAUUAGGAAUACUAUGAUAAAACCAUUGCUUCAAUUAUCAUCUACUUGUCCACAUUAAAACUAAUGUCCGAAAAUUCUUUUGGUAUCAAACUCAAGUCAUAAAAUAAAUGUUAUAUUUUAUAUUUUUUCAUCGUCGAACACUAUUUAAUUGAUUAAAUAAUUUUUUCAAAUUUUAUGUACUAUACAUGUAAAUCGUGCCUCUGGAUUCAGUGAAUUAAAUGUUACAAAGAAUAAUUAAAGUGAAAUAAAAUCAAUUCUAAAAUUAAGGAUACUUUUACUUUUAUUUAUAUAUAUAUAUAUAUAUAUAUAUAUAUAUAUAUAUAUAUAUAUAUAUAUAUAUAUAUAUUUCCAAAAAAAAUAAAAAUUAUAUUAAUAUUAAAUCAACAUAAAAGGUUUAUGUGUAUUAUAAUAUAUUUUUUUAUAUAUAAAAGGCUAACAAAAACCAGAAUAAGUAAUUUUUUAUGCUUUUUUUUUUCAAAUUUAAACACUGUUUACGGUCUAUUAUGCACACAUAUUAUAAACAGUUAAAUGAUAUGUGUACGUAGUGUAAACAAACUGUGAAGGUGUCAAGAAUAUUUUGACCCCUGAUACAGAGAUAAUUAUUAUUUAUGAUGGUGACCUUUGUUGAAAUCAUUCAAUAAGAUAUAUUAAGUAAAUAAUAUAUAAAGUAAAUUAGUCAAUAAGAGAUUAAAUAUUAUUUUUGAGAAUGAUUAAUUUUGAGAAAAAUAAAUAUGAAGUUGAAAUGAUUAAGAUUAUUGAUAAUAUUUACGGACUGUGAUAAAAUUUUCUAACAUAUUGUUUAGUAGAGAAGAUAGCUGAAGUUGACAACAAUAUAAAAACUUUACUUUUAUUUUGUAAAUAUUGUGACGUGUUUGGUGAAAACAAUAAAGAGAAUACAUAUAAUUUUAGAAAUUUUAGAAAUUAUUUUGUUAUUUUUAACCUAUUUUUAUUUAUCUUUUUACACUUCUGUUUCGUCUAUAUAUUUUUUUUAUCAAAACUUUCUGUUUUCGUUAUUCUACCUAUUUAAUUUCAUGCAACAUUAUUUAUCAGUGUAGUGAAAGGAGAAAGUGCUUAUAAUAUAUAUUAAAUCCACCAUAAUAUAUAAUAUGUCAAAUUCAAUUUUAAUAUUUUUACUUAAAUCAUAAAUAAUAAAUAUAAAAAAAAUACAUGUGUCAUUAGUAUUCCAUUUAAGAUUAAUAUCCUAAAGCAUAUAUGUAUUUUUUUUCAAUUUAGCAUUUACGCUAUGAGAGUGAAUCGUGACUGGUCUUUGAGAUAGAAGUUUUUUACAAAGAAAUAACACCAACUUAGAUAAAAAAAAUUGUAUUACUUAAUUUCAAAACCUUAAAAAAAUAUUUAUAAAUCUCUUUUCUUAUAAAAUGUUAUCAUUUUUCUUAUCUAUAUGUAAUAUAUGUAAUAUGAGAUUUAGUUUAAAAUUUAGAAUCACAAUCAUAUACACCUAACAUCAUUGUAAAAUUCUAAUUAGUAUGAAUGUGUGAAUUUUUAUUGCAAUAUAAACAAAUGGAACUAUUUUUGCGAGACCAAGUAUUUAUAUAAGAAAUAGACGCGAAAGUUUUUAUCAUCAUAACAUUUAAGUAUAACUAAAGUGUUUUCAUUUUUAUAUAUAAGCUAUCGUAAUAAAUAAUGAGUUAAAAAAAUACAAAUAGAUAUAAAUAUGGUUUUGAAUAUUUGAGUGUGAAACUAAGAUCAAUUGUCCAUUUUUAUUUUUUUUUAAGUUCAAGUUUUGUUUGGCACAACAAAACUUUUGUGUAUAUUCAAACUCUUUCAAAAUAAUACUUGUAUAAGGUAUUUUGAUGCCAAAAUCAAAUUAAGUUAAACAAAUAAAAAUGAAUGUUGUAAUUAACAUGAAAUUUAUAUUCUUAUCUUAAAUGUUUAUUUAUAUAUUUUGUGGUAAACAUUUAAUUAAAGUUGACCUAACUACUACCUAAACUUAAAUAAUCAUGUUUUGACAUUGAGUUAAUUGAUUUUAGGAUAGAUUUGAUUUAGUACCAUUUAAAUCGAUCAGUCUCAUAUAUAAUCGGACGAUCGGUUAGAUGAUAGUCUAGACUAAACGACUUGUCAUUCGGUCCGAUGUAUGACUAGACGGUCUAUUAUGUGACUGUUUGAAUUCAUCGACUUGCCAUCUAAAUGAUUUGGUUGAUGAUCUGAUCUAAUGUAUAAUUCUCUGAUAUUUAAGUGAUUGUUCGAUCCCAAUAACCUUGUCAUCUUUAAUAGUUAUCAUCUAAAUUAUAGUCAAUCAAACAGUUAUAUUAUACAGAACAAGCAUCAUAUGAGAAUUGAAAAGUUUUAUUUUGUUAACACCUAUACUAAAUUUGAUUAAAAAAAACCUAAAUUUGGUAUAUAAAGAAAGAACAACUCAGGUAAAUUGAUAAAUUUAAAAGAAAAUUUGAAUGAAGUAUUGGAAGUAAGUGGUUGAGGACAAGGGCACAAAAUUGGGGGACCCGUCUUUUACAUUGUAGGACUCCUCUGCCGAAGGGAUGGGGGCACCAUUAGGUAGUGCAUCCCAAUAGACUAUGACAAUGUCGAUGCCACUUUUUUCUAAAUUUUCUGUGUUGAUACUUCUUUUUUAUUUUUCUUUAUGAAAAGGAUUUCUUGAAAGAAACUUCCCAAGCUAGUACCAGAGUAGACCUAUCAGUUUGACUAGUUUGUCAUAACAACUAUUAUUGAACUUUUUUUUUUCUCUUAUAUUUUAUUUGAAGGUUCUAUAGUUUCUAAAGUCUAGUAGUAAAGUCUAGCAUGGAAAUAUUGGAAGACAUUUUUAUAAAAACAAAGACUAUGACAACUACACAGUGAUUGUAGAAAAGAAGUUUCGAAUUGGACUGUGUUCAGGACACAAUUUUCAACUACCUACUAUCAAUGCAUAUUUUCUACCUUUUCAAUCUAAAUCUUUUAUAUUCUUUCCACCAUAGUAAAUUUAAGUUUUUUCUUUAAUGAGGUUUUUUUAUAAAAAAAUUGUUUUGAUCAUUAUCUGUUUUUUUAUAUUUUAAAAUGAAUUUUUGUUAUUUAAUUUUGAAAUUAAUUAGAGGGACAUGUUUUCAUCAUCAUUAUAUAUAUAUAUAUAUAUAUAUAUAUAUAUAUAUAUAUAUAUAUAUAUAUAUAUAUAUAUAUAUAUUAAGAAAUUAUUUUAAAUCUAGUUUAUCUUCACAAAAAAUUAACUUAUAAAACCAUAAUUGGCUCAUUCAUGUAAUGUUGUUCUCACUAUCUUACGCAAAGACAUGUAUAUUUGAAUUUAGAUUCUCUGAUUAGUUUUUUUGGACUAUUUUUUUAAAAUACAAUUAUGUAUACUAAUUAUGAUACUUUAAAAUACAUUAAUUUUUUUUAAUAAAUCAACUUAGUGUAUUUUGAAAGUUCAGUUGUGAGUGUUAACAAAUCAACAAAGAAUCUGAAAUUUGUUCAUUUUAUGCGAGAGAAUUUGUUAGCAAUUGACAUGAUAAGUUAAUUAAAUUUUAUUAAAAUAAACAUUUAUUUAAUAUUAAUAAAUGAAUUUAAAUCUAAUUCAUCUUUAUAAAAUGAAAUUUUAAGAUGAUUUAAAUAGAUAUGAGAUAUCCAACAAUGUAUUUCUACAUAACAAGUAAAAAAAUAACUUAGUUUUAACCUCAUUGAAAAUUUGAGUAUUUUUAAUCGAAUCUAAUAAUAAUAUUUGUUUUAUUGUGUCCAAAAUUUAUAUAUUUUUCAAUCAAUAAAGUGAAGGCUUAAGUUUGUAGUUUAAAAAAAAAAAACAAAAAAGUGCACAAUAAAAAAAAGUGAAGUUUUAAAACAUAAUUAUCUUUAUAACAAUAGACAUUCUUUCGUUUCAUAAAACAUAAUAUAAUAAUAAUUGAUUAUUAUAUUAAGUUAUUUCAAAACUUUUUUCUAAAGAAACCUUUUUCUCUUGCAAAAACCCAAUUAUGUUUUCUAUAUUGUAUCUCCCCAAUCUCACUUUCUUCUCACUGUUUUUCUUAAUUUUCAAUGGCACGUUUUUCAUUCUCACUGUUUUUAUAUUUAUUUAUUUUUGUUCGUCAAAGUCUUUUUUAUUUCAUAUAAUUUAUUAAAUAUUCUCGCAUGGGUUUGUGUAUUAUUUUCUCUUGAAACUGUAUUUAAAACUAUGUGUAAUUCUAAGAUCUGUACUAAUAUUCGUAUUUGGGUCAAAUUCAUUUUUGAUAAAAGCAUUCCAAAUGUUUUGCUCGCAAGUGCACUCAUAACAAACAUAAUCAAGAUAACUAUUCAAUUUUGAGUCCCCAAGUUGAAUUUAAACUUCUUGGAAUCAUAUGAGUAGUGGGAUUUUUACUCAGAUAUUUUGGUCUUCAAUUAAAAGAAUGUUUUUCUAUAAUCCAAUAUAUUUAAAUUAAUUUAAAUAUAAUAAAAUAACCAUGAGACCAUCCAUUAUAUUUAAAUAAAUUUUUAAUUUCUUGAAAUUAUAAAAAAAAAUCAACAACAAACUAAAAUGCCAACUCAACUAAUAAUCCAUAAAUUAGCUCUAAUCUAUUAUUAAAAAAAUUCCUUUUAGGAGACUCAUUCAAGUAAAAAAUAAAAACAAAAUCUUAGCUCCAAAAACAUAUUUUCAAGUCUUUAAUUUACUUUUAAAAACAAUAUAACUCAUGUAUACGUAUAAAAUUAUAUAUCUUAUUAUUAUAUGUUGUAAUUUUAUUAUAUUUAAAUAAUAUUUUAUAUCAUACUUAUUAUUAUUUUAUUAAAUAAAAUAUAUAAUAUAUAGUUUAAUAUAAUUAUUAACUAUAAUCUAUUUAUUAAUUUUAUCAAUUUUUCUGGAAAAAACUUAUAACAUUUAAUAAAACAAUACAUAAUAUAUUUUGAUAAAGUUUCAAACACGACAAAAGAAAUAUGAAAUCUAGCUACAAUAUAAGAAUAUUGAAUUAAUACUAAUAAAAUUCACACUAAUUUUUUUAUAAUUACUAAAUAUUAUAUAUAAAGACAAAUAAAUAAAUGGUAGAAUUUAAGUAUAAAUUUAAGUCAUACAAUAUUAAAAAAAGAAAAAAAACAACAUAUAAUAAAAAAAAUCUAUAAACUUCUUAUUCAUAAAUUCAUUAUUUUAAACUUUUAAAUUGAGAUUAUUUAGUUUUGAUUCAUAUGUAGAAAUUAAAAGUAUCAAGAAAAAUUACUUAUGUUUAGACAAAUAUUUCAACGUCUAUGUUGUAUAGUUUUUCUAUGUAAACAAACAAUCAAGUUCAGUAAAACCUUUUAUAAAGUCUAUAUUAUUUUGAUUAAAAUGUUUGUACAUAGUUGACAAAUUAAAAAUAUUUAGAUUUACCAUAGUGUUAAUUGAAUUUUUCUUCUAUUCAAAAUGAAUUUUUUUUCCAAAAAAAAGUCAAUAUGUUAACUCUGACCGACAGAGCUUUUAUGAAUAUAUUUGACUCAGUUGAUUUUUUCAAUGGAGAACUCAUUCACCUUAAUUUAUGUGGGUCAAAAACAAAAGCAUGUGAAGAGGUUCAAAUUAAUUAACAAAUCUACCGCUUAAUGUGAGAAAUUCAAUUAGAAGAGUUUGUAAUUAAUUUAAAUUCUUACAAAUAAAAAACAAAACAUAUUUAUUCAACAGAAAAGUCAUGAAAUCUUUUAUUUGAGGAAUUAAUAUAUUUUUAUUCUUUAGACAAAUUAUAACAAUCAAUCAACAAUUAAGUUUGAAGUGAUUGAAGGGUUAAAACAUACCUAAGAGUUGUAAUCAUAAAUGAAUAAUAAAGUUGUUAUGGUACAAGCUAGUAAAAAUAUUUAUUAGGUUGAGAUGGAUAUCUCUUGAGUCAAACAAUCUAUUUUGCGUAUACUAGGUCUUGGAUUGGAGACUAAAAAAAAUGUUGGAUGGUUGCAACCUCUUAUUAGGAUUAACAAUCAAUGAAUGUUGUUCAAAUUUAUAAAUUGUUCAACCUAAUUCAAAAUUUGGAAAGAUAGUCUUAAAUGCAUUGCUAUAUGUUUAAGAUAUAUUUAAGGUAAAAUUUGAUAUGUUAAAAGGAGAAAAGAGAAAAAAAGAAAAAAAAAAAAAAAGAGAUGAAUGUCCAUUCCAUGGUGAAUUUGAACUGUGGGAAGAAAAGAUAUAUAUGAACCAAAAGCUAUAAAUAUGAUCAUUGAGCACAUGUGAAAGAAAAAGUAAGAAUAAAAGUGAAAGUAAAGAUAAAAAAUACAGUAAAUAUACAUUUUUAAAAUAACCCAUAUUAAAACUCACUUUUGAGCAAAACUUGAUUGGAUGACACUUCAUUAUGCAAUACUUAAAGAAUCUAUUCUCAUAUUCAAAAUUAAAGCUAAUAAUGACCCUCUCAUAUUUUUCUAUAAAUAAAAUAUCUUAAUAUUAAUAAUAGUAAUAAUAAUAAUAAUAAAUUAUAAAUAUAUUCGUAAAAAAUAUACAUAAUGUGAGCAUUGGCUGUCUAAGUCAACGAUCCAAUCAACUACUAAAUUAAUAACCAACUAAGUUUAAUAGCGUUUAUUUUAUGUUUAUAAACAUGUCAUUAAUGCCACCAAUGCCACUUUUUUCUGGUAAUACUUAGUAUCACCCCAAUAUCACCUAAUUUGUUUCAUGUAUAUAUUUAAUUCAAGUAAUUUUAUGAAAAUGUUAAAUGAAUCUACAUAGCAGCAUAACAGUUUUCGAACUAAAUAUAUGAGUUUUUUGGACUACCUUCGAAUGACUGAAAUUGGGAAUCUUGUAAAAUGUAGUUGUCACACUUUAAAACAUUAAAUAAAAAUAAAGACUUCAACCAUAUAUUAUGUCCUACAUGCCUACAAACCGAAUAUAUAUAUAAAAAAGAAAAAUAUAUUUUAAAUUUGAUAUUAAUACAUGAUUAUACUGUUACAAUUUAUUAAUCUUAGCAAUAAUAAUCUUAUCAAAUGACCAUUUAAUUUUUUUUUAUUUCAUAAAAUAAUGAUGGUUGUAGUGUUAAUAUAAUCCUUCUAUCACAAAACAAUACAUUUAUUAAUUUUUAUUAUUAUAAUUUAGGCUGAAUUCAAAAUGUUUAUAAAAUUUGUUUUAAUUAGAACGUUAGAAUUUAGACUAGCUAUAAAUAAAUAAAUUUAAUGGACCAUUUAUGUAAAGUAAAUAUAAUCAAUAAUGGUUAACAAUAAUAUAUUAAUUUUUUUCUCCCGUAUUAAAAUUGCGCAAGUAUUUAAUUUUAAAAUAUUAAGUUUUAUUAUAUAGAAGGUCAAACUAAAAAACUUAUUAAAACUAUGUCACAGAAUAAACUUUAAAAUAUUUUGUGAUAAAUAUUGGAGCUUUUUAUGUUAAGUUUAUAUCAUAUGAAGAAACACACAUGUAUAUUAAACUCCACUUUUAGAAAAGCCAUUUCUUUUAUUUUAAAAAAUAAAUAUUUAUUUAAGGAAAACCGUGUUGGAUCUGUGUUACGUUAUUAUAAUUGAUGAAAGAUAAAUUUUAAUUAAGGUUAUAAUUUAAAAAUAAUUUUGAAAUGAAAGGAAAAUUGAGGAGGUUAUUUUUUGUGGCGUCAUCCCUCCGCCAAGGAGUUGAAAUUAGGGUUUAGGGGAGAUUAGAAUGAGUAUCUUGGCCACAUAAAACCAGGUACAGUACUAUAUAUACAGCUAAGUCCAACCAAUGGGAAUAUAGAGAAACCAAAUCACCAAUUUCAUUACCAUCACACAGAUUCACCUUCCUCCCCCCUAUAUAUCACUCCCCCAGCCUUCUGCCACUGUUACCAUUCAACAUACACUUCCUUCUCUCUCUCUCUCUCUCUCUCUCUCUCUCUCUCUCUCUCUCUCUCUCCCUCUCUUCCUACCCUUUUUUUUCUUUAGUUUUCUCCAUACUUUUCCUCUCAGCUUUAGAUCUUAGUCGUAUUGGAACAUACUGUGUAUGGUUUUUUUUAUAUCUUAUAUAUCUCUUUAUCUCCUCCUUCCGAUUCUAACUCUGAUCUAUAAUCUAUUUCAAGGCUACAAUAUAAAUAUGAAAUAUUUCGAUGUGCCCUUUUUAUCUUUUGAGAAACUACUCUUCCUAUAAGGAUUUGCCAAGGUACGUGAGUCUUUCCCUUUUCGAGGGAUUACUGUUUGGUUUUGAUUCUAACAUGAAGGGUUAUUCUUUAAAAUCUCUUUUUCUUGUUUACACCAAGCGAAAGUAUGGUUCUUUUUCAUCAACACAGCAAAACCUGUACUUUGUAAAAGUAUGGAUAGCUGGCUUUGAAUCCGGGUUGUUUUGGUUUUGUUCAAUCGUUGGAGGUUCUGAAAGUAAAAAGCGCUUUUGUUGUUCUUUAUGGAGUGGUUGAAUUUUCUUGUUUUCUUUUUUUAUUUAUUUUAAUUGGGGUUUUGGCUUUUCUUUUGUUCUUGAGGUAUGAAUUGAGUUCAUGUGGUUAGAUUCCAUUCGGGGUACCCCAACUGGCCUCGUGUGGCAAACACAGACUGACCACUUGCAACAGGCCACAUCAGCGACUCCUCGUGGCCUUGCUGCUAAAAUUCUACAUAAAAUCUCAAUUUUCCGUGUCCCCUCUUUCUUUUCUAUUUUUUACCCUCUCUUGCUUUCUCUCUGUUUCAUGUUGUUCACCUUUUUUUUUUUUUUUUUAAUUUAUUUUCCCUCUUGACAAAUUUCCGUGACAUUAACUGGUCUUCACUAUUGGAGUAACCUAUUGAGCUUUUUAGCCAUACAUACGUUUCACUAAAAGUGGCAAUAAUGCUUUAUAGCUUCUAAAUAUAUACACAUGUCUAUGUAUGUGCAUACCUCUCUUUUUCAGAAGCUAUAGUUGCAUGGACAGAUUGACAGUCGUUGUUUGCGGAUGUAGCAUCAUCAAGAUUCACAUGCAAAUGAAGGUGGAUGGGACUGUGAUGCAAUCUAAGCGCUGGUCUUUUUGAUGUGAGAAUCUUGAUGAUGCUGCAUCAGCCAUAAACGACUUUAAAAAGUUGAACAAGUACUCCGAGUAGAGACCCCCCCCCCCCAAUUAAAGAGUGAAGAUAAAAAAGAAAGAAAGUGGUAGGUAUACACAUAUACACACACAUACACAGCUCAAACUUCCAGGCAUUGUCCAUGAGUUCAUGAUGCAUUACAAGGAGAGGUGACUCUUUCUGCUUUCCUUUCUGUUGCUGUCAGGUGCCUUUUUUCAUGCAUCUAUCUUUUCUGUUUGCAAUUUGCAGUGCUAAAUUUUUGUUUAUUCACAUUACUGGAUGCCCUUCUUGUCUUUUAAAUAUUAUUUUUCCACACUAAUUAGCCCUUUUUCAUUUGCAGACAGUACUAGGUUAUCGAAUAUUGGCUAUUUGGAUUUUGGAGGCUCAGUGGAGCGGCUGAGUGUUAGGUCCUUUAUAUGCUGACUUCACAGAUCUAUGAAUAUUCCUUUUCAACAGGAAUGCUGCAAGAGAAAUGGUGUCUUUUCAGUUUCUUAAUAUAUAUUCAAACAUCACUUUAUCCAAAUCUUGAGCCAAUAAAGACACACACACAUAAUGCAGAGAGUAAGAGAGAGAAAUUAAUAUUUGGAUUUUAGUUCGCCAUCUCAUGUUUCUCUUGUCAUUGUAUUGUAACAGAUGUUCAGCUUCUGUUAUUCAGAUCCACCCAUCAUACUUAAUCAUCU
Molecule: long non-coding RNA, 36091 nt
Filed under: Vigna radiata
Lineage: Eukaryota; Viridiplantae; Streptophyta; Magnoliopsida; Fabales; Fabaceae
Description: long non-coding RNA (VRAD_LNC002818)
Rfam family: mir-172 microRNA precursor family (bases 35296-35416)
Source: RNAcentral